AUUGAACGCUGGCGGCAGGCCUAACACAUGCAAGUCGUACGGAAAGGCCUCUUCGGAGGUACUCGAGUGGCGGACGGCUGAGUAACGCGUAGGAACGUACCCCAAACUGAGGGAUAACCUCGAGAAAUCGAGGCUAAUACCGCAUGUGCUCUAAGGAGUAAAGCUUCGGCGGUUUGGGAACGGCCUGCGUAAGAUUAGCUAGUUGGUGAGGUAAUGGCUCACCAAGGCGACGAUCUUUAGCUGGUCUGAGAGGAUGAUCAGCCAGACUGGGACUGAGACACGGCCCAGACUCCUACGGGAGGCAGCAGUAGGGAAUUUUCCACAAUGGGGGCAACCCUGAUGGAGCAACGCCGCGUGCAGGAUGAAGGCCCUUGGGUUGUAAACUGCUUUUAUAUGUGACGAUAAUGACGGUAGCAUAUGAAUAAGGAUCGGCUAACUCCGUGCCAGCCGCCGCCGUAA
RNAcentral lists this ribosomal RNA (459 nucleotides) under uncultured bacterium. RNAcentral describes it as "partial 16S ribosomal RNA". It matches the Rfam family "Bacterial small subunit ribosomal RNA", at positions 30 to 523 of the family's 1533-position model. The record is from RNAcentral.